GAUGAACGCUGGCGGCGUGCCUAAUACAUGCAAGUCGAGCGAACAGAUGAGGAGCUUGCUUCUCUGACGUUAGCGGCGGACGGGUGAGUAACACGUGGAUAACCUACCUAUAAGACUGGGAUAACUUCGGGAAACCGGAGCUAAUACCGGAUAAUAUAUUGAACGGCAUGGUUCAAUAGUGAAAGACGGUUUUGCUGUCACUUAUAGAUGGAUCCACGCCGCAUUAGCUAGUUGGUAAGGUAACGGCUUACCAAGGCAACGAUGCGUAGCCGACCUGAGAGGGUGAUCAGCCACACUGGAACUGAGACACGGUCCAGACUCCUACGGGAGGCAGCAGUAGGGAAUCUUCCGCAAUGGGCGAAAGCCUGACGGAGCAACGCCGCGUGAGUGAUGAAGGUCUUCGGAUCGUAAAGCUCUGUUAUUAGGGAAGAACAAAUGUGUAAGUAACUAUGCACGUCUUGACGGUACCUAAUCAGAAAGCCACGGCUAACUACGUG
RNAcentral lists this ribosomal RNA (497 nucleotides) under uncultured bacterium. RNAcentral describes it as "partial 16S ribosomal RNA". It matches the Rfam family "Bacterial small subunit ribosomal RNA", at positions 28 to 507 of the family's 1533-position model. The record is from RNAcentral.